This is an unclassified non-coding RNA of Macaca fascicularis (crab-eating macaque), 159 nucleotides long. It matches the Rfam family "Metazoan signal recognition particle RNA". Rfam says of the family: The signal recognition particle (SRP) is a universally conserved ribonucleoprotein. It is involved in the co-translational targeting of proteins to membranes. The eukaryotic SRP consists of a 300-nucleotide 7S RNA and six proteins: SRPs 72, 68, 54, 19, 14, and 9. Lineage: Eukaryota; Metazoa; Chordata; Mammalia; Primates; Cercopithecidae. The record is from Ensembl.
GCCGGGUGUGGUAGUGCACACCUGUGGCCCCAGCUACUCAGGAGGCUGAGGUAGGAGGAUCUCUUGAGCCCAGGAGUUCAAGGUUGUAGUGUGCUAUCACUGUACCUGUAAAUAGCCACUGCAUUCCAGCAUGGGCAACAUAACGAGAACCCAUCUCUA